RNAcentral lists this ribosomal RNA (252 nucleotides) under uncultured bacterium. RNAcentral describes it as "partial 16S ribosomal RNA". It matches the Rfam family "Bacterial small subunit ribosomal RNA", at positions 524 to 776 of the family's 1533-position model. The record is from RNAcentral.
UACGAAGGGGGCUAGCGUUGCUCGGAAUGACUGGGCGUAAAGGGCGCGUAGGCGGACGGCUUUGUCGGGCGUGAAAUUCCAGGGCUUAACCUUGGGGCUGCGUUCGAGACGGGUUGUCUAGAGUUUGGAAGAGGGUCGUGGAAUUCCCAGUGUAGAGGUGAAAUUCGUAGAUAUUGGGAAGAACACCGGUGGCGAAGGCGGCGACCUGGUCCUUGACUGACGCUGAGGAGCGAAAGCCAGGGAGCAAACGGG